GAUGAAGAACGCAGCGAAAUGCGAUAAGUAGUGUGAAUUGCAGAAUUCAGUGAAUCAUCGAAUCUUUGAACGCACAUUGCGCCCCUUGGCAUUCCGGGGGGCAUGCCUGUCCGAGCGUCAUUGCUGCCCUCAAGCACGGCUUGUGUGUUGGGCCUCCGUCCUCCUCCCGGGGGACGGGCCCGAAAGGCAGCGGCGGCACCGCGUCCGGUCCUCGAGCGUAUGGGGCUUCGUCACCCGCUCUUGUAGGCCCGGCCGGCGCUUGCCGACACAUCAAUCUUUUUUCCAGGUUGACCUCGGAUCAGGUAGGGAUACCCGCUGAACUUAAGCAUAUCAAUAAGCGGAGGA
RNAcentral lists this unclassified non-coding RNA (345 nucleotides) under soil metagenome. RNAcentral describes it as "partial contains 5.8S ribosomal RNA, internal transcribed spacer 2, and large subunit ribosomal RNA". The stretch from base 1 to 120 matches the Rfam family "5.8S ribosomal RNA", at positions 35 to 154 of the family's 154-position model. The record is from RNAcentral.